AGCAUCCGACAACAGUAGACUCGUCAGCAGCCUCGAAAACAUCCGAGCUUCUCCCAGAUCGACGGGAUAGAGAGCCAUUCCGCUCCAUCAGAUAUCCCAGCCGAGCUCCGACCGACAGAUCUGAACUCUCUAGCAAGUCACGACAAUGGCCACUACCCUACUCCAUUCUCUACAAUGGAUUCCGCGUGGCUCCACCACUCUCU
RNAcentral lists this long non-coding RNA (203 nucleotides) under Elaeis guineensis (African oil palm). RNAcentral describes it as "long non-coding RNA (EGUI_LNC078358)". The record is from RNAcentral. Lineage: Eukaryota; Viridiplantae; Streptophyta; Magnoliopsida; Arecales; Arecaceae.